This is a non-coding RNA of Gasterosteus aculeatus aculeatus (three-spined stickleback), 861 nucleotides long. Lineage: Eukaryota; Metazoa; Chordata; Actinopteri; Perciformes; Gasterosteidae. The record is from RefSeq and is a predicted model, not a curated record.
CCUGAGGGCCUCAUGCACCUGGGGGAGGAGAGCACGAUGUCAUUCCGGUGUUAUGCCUGUUUGGAAGGUCACACACUGACCCUCAAAGACAAGCUCCGGCUCUCCAUCCUGCGGCCCCGUUCUCCGGCACCAGAGAGGACAACGAGCAGAGGCCUCACUGCGGCCUGUGAAGCCUGGCUCGUGCUUCUGAGACUUCAAAAUAAGAGCCCAACACCAGGAUCAAGACAUUAUGCGCAAUGAUUACGACCUGCUGAUGUUUUCAAAGAAAAUGUAAUUCCAAGUGUGUGAAUACUUACUCAAAUAUGUUAAUAAAGAGUACACGUAUGCAGACCAGCAUGAUUUAAAAAUGACAGUAGUAAACUACAGCCACAUUUAUUGAGAAUGACAUUGGUUUUCACAAAGUUACUAAUUCAGUAUAUUUGGGUAUUUUUAUCCAAAGCUGCUGGGGUAUACUGAAUAAUAAGUACACACUUUUAUUGAUAAUUACAUCACAUUUAGUCAAAGAGUCCAUUUGGACCUUCUUUUUUAGGACCUUUGCAAUUCGCGAUGCAGUUAGUAAAUUCUGGGCCACAUCCUGAGAAACCUCAAGGUUUCACAAAUAGACCAGAUGCACUUUGGAUCGAUGGCAGACCAUCUCAGACAAUAUCAGAACAUUCCUAUGUAGAGUUUCCGAAUAAAAUACCUUUAAAAUCUCAUUCAUUGGCCAAUUUACUUAUAUUUUCAGAUUAGAUGUUAAAGGGGAGGGCAAUGGUUACUAAAUAAUUUCACUGCAGGUCAAUCACAAUAAAUAUAGUAUAAUUUAUCGUUCAUUCAUAAGUGCUGUUUAUUAAAAAUGUAUCUAUGGUAUACUCAUUGACUGAA